UGUCACAGCCCUGAUUUCAAGAUCUAAUUGGCUUCUGUCUGCGAAUACGUCACGAUCAUGAUUAGAAUUGAUGAUCGGAUGUUUAGAUUUCAUUGUCUGGCUAGGGGACUGCUGAAGAAAUCUGCUGAAUUAGAGCGGUCGUUUGAUUUGACGACAAAAACAGCACCUCAGGGAGACAAAGACACCGCACCAUGUCUCAGCCCCUGCACCCUGCAGCCCAGGAGACUGAGCUAGCAUGACCAGCUAGACCACCAUAACCCCCGGACAGACGGACAGACAGUAUCUGCUGCCUGGCCGUAGGCCUAUCUGGCCCUGCUGCCUAGACCUCACCCCGGCCCUGCUGCCUAGAC
Salvelinus sp. IW2-2015 is the source of this 350-nucleotide long non-coding RNA. RefSeq lists it as uncharacterized. Lineage: Eukaryota; Metazoa; Chordata; Actinopteri; Salmoniformes; Salmonidae. The record is from RefSeq and is a predicted model, not a curated record. The transcript has 2 exons.